This is a long non-coding RNA of Bos taurus (domestic cattle), 909 nucleotides long. The record is from Ensembl. NCBI's taxonomy places the organism in Eukaryota, Metazoa, Chordata, Mammalia, Artiodactyla, Bovidae.
AGAGGAACAAGGGAGGCUAAGGAGCUCUUGCAGCUGGGCCAGGCUCCUGAAAGGCAGAUGGGAAAGGUCUGUGGGAGGAGGCAAGGGAAACGGAGGGAAGCCUCCUGGGUCAGAGCUCAGGAAGGGAACUUCCAAGGAUGACCCUGAGCAGUCCCAGGAACCUCAGAGAUGGAGCUGCCCAGAUCCGUGAGCAGACAGAGCAAUACAUGUGUAGGGGAGUGAACAGAAAUGCAUGGGGAAAGGGAGCAAGUUCUCUGACCAGGGAUCAAACCCAUGUCCUCUGCACUGGAACCUCAGAGUCUUAUCCACUGGACCACCAGGGAAGUCCCCAUCCUCGUGUGUUAAGGAGGGGAGAGGCUCCCUGGAUGAGGACUCACUGGAGACAGAGACAGUGUCUGAUUCAGGGAGACCCGGUAACAACGUCCCUUGAACCCCAGGACCUGCCGACUGGAAUCUGGCCCCCACCUGCCCCUGCAGCUUCAGUCAUCAUAAUUGAGUCCCUGGCAGCUGUGCCCAGAUGCAGCUUCUACAAACAGGAAUUUGCCCCAAAUUUGCUCUGAGCAUCUCCCCUGGAUCAAGCCCAAGAUCCCUGAGGCUGGUCAGGGCAGCACAUAACUCAGUGACCUCUGCUCACUGUCUCUGCUGGUGACAACGGAAGAUGCAGAGGGGAAAGAAGGAGAACUUACUCCUGCAUUCAUUUGUUCAUUUAUUCAACACAUUUUUGUUGAGUCCCUACUUUAUGUUAGACAGUUUUAUUCUCUGGAACGCAAUCUUGAAUAAAACAGACCGAACUCUCAGCCCUCAUGGAGAAUAUAUUCAAAAGGUGAAACAGACAUUUAUUAGAUAAAAUAUACAAGGUCGGCUGGUGAUUGGCACCCUGGGGAAGGAUGAAGGAGCAGGGGGCACGGC